CGCGGCCUAUCAGCUUGUUGGUGAGGUAGUGGCUCACCAAGGCGACGACGGGUAGCCGGCCUGAGAGGGCGACCGGCCACACUGGGACUGAGACACGGCCCAGACUCCUACGGGAGGCAGCAGUGGGGAAUAUUGCACAAUGGGCGCAAGCCUGAUGCAGCGACGCCGCGUGAGGGAUGACGGCCUUCGGGUUGUAAACCUCUUUCAGCAGGGAAGAAGCGCAAGUGACGGUACCUGCAGAAGAAGCACCGGCUAACUACGUGCCAGCAGCCGCGGUAAUACGUAGGGUGCGAGCGUUGUCCGGAAUUAUUGGGCGUAAAGAGCUUGUAGGCGGUUUGUCGCGUCUGCUGUGAAAAUCCGGGGCUCAACCCCGGGCUUGCAGUGGGUACGGGCAGGCUAGAGUGUGGUAGGGGAGACUGGAAUUCCUGGUGUAGCGGUGAAAUGCGCAGAUAUCAGGAGGAACACCGAUGGCGAAGGCAGGUCUCUGGGCCACUACUGACGCUGAGAAGCGAAAGCAUGGGGAGCGAACAGGAUUAGAUACCCUGGUAGUCCAUGCCGUAAACGUUGGGAACUAGGUGUGGGUCUCAUUCCACGAGAUCCGUGCCGCAGCUAACGCAUUAAGUUCCCCGCCUGGGGAAUCACUA
This 644-nucleotide ribosomal RNA is filed under the name uncultured Actinomycetes bacterium. Its description in RNAcentral is "bacterial SSU rRNA". It matches the Rfam family "Bacterial small subunit ribosomal RNA", at positions 232 to 886 of the family's 1533-position model. Lineage: Bacteria; Bacillati; Actinomycetota; Actinomycetes. The record is from RNAcentral.